Molecule: small nucleolar RNA, 88 nt
Filed under: Drosophila simulans
Lineage: Eukaryota; Metazoa; Arthropoda; Insecta; Diptera; Drosophilidae
Description: small nucleolar RNA Me28S-Cm3227
Rfam family: Small nucleolar RNA Me28S-Cm3227 (bases 1-79)
About the family: Me28S-Cm3227 is a member of the C/D class of snoRNA which contain the C (UGAUGA) and D (CUGA) box motifs.
Source: Rfam by way of RNAcentral
AUUUUCCUGAUGAUAAGUUUAAUCUGAACAAAGUGCUGUUGAUUCACAACUUAAAAUUAAACCAAAAGGAUUCUGAAACCCAUUAAAU